GAUGAACGCUGACAGAAUGCCUAACACAUGCAAGUCUUUGGCACAGCUGUGCUUGUACAGCCUAGCCAAGUCGGACGGGUGAGUAACGUGUAAGGAACUUGCCCUGCAUUCAGGGAUAACAGACGUACACGACUGAUAAGCCCUGGCAAAGUCAGGCGGUCACAUGUCCAGCCCGAUGAAGGGAGAUGCUGUGGGGGGGGCUUGCGUACUGUUAGCUUGUUGGUGGGGUAACUGCCCACCAAGGGGCUGACAGGUGGCCGGCCUGAGAGGAUGGACGGCCACGAGGGGUAUGAGAUGCGGCCGUUACUCAUACGGGGGGUAGCAGUGGGGAAUAUUGGAGAAUGGGGGCAACCCUGAUCAAGCAAUUCUGUGUGUAAGAUGAAGUUUUUCGGAUUGAAAAGAGCUUUCAGCAGGGAAGAAAAAAAUGACGGUACCUGAAGAGGAAGCGACGGCUAAAUACGUG
RNAcentral lists this ribosomal RNA (463 nucleotides) under uncultured bacterium. Its description in RNAcentral is "partial 16S ribosomal RNA". It matches the Rfam family "Bacterial small subunit ribosomal RNA", at positions 28 to 507 of the family's 1533-position model. The record is from RNAcentral.